This is a small nuclear RNA of Cebus imitator (Panamanian white-faced capuchin), 107 nucleotides long. The record is from Ensembl. Lineage: Eukaryota; Metazoa; Chordata; Mammalia; Primates; Cebidae.
GUGUUUGCUUCAGCAACCCAUAUUCUAACAUUGGAACGAUACAGAGAAUAUUAGCAUGGCUCCAGAGCAAAAGUGGUCCAUAUUUUUCAGAAAGACUCAAAAAUAUG